Molecule: ribosomal RNA, 253 nt
Filed under: uncultured bacterium
Lineage: Bacteria
Description: partial 16S ribosomal RNA
Rfam family: Bacterial small subunit ribosomal RNA
Source: RNAcentral
UACAGAGGGGGCAAGCGUUGUUCGGAAUUACUGGGCGUAAAGGGCGCGUAGGCGGCCUUCUAAGUCGAACGUGAAAUCCCCGGGCUCAACCCGGGAACUGCGUCCGAUACUGGAAGGCUUGAAUUCGGGAGAGGGAUGCGGAAUUCCAGGUGUAGCGGUGAAAUGCGUAGAUAUCUGGAGGAACACCGGUGGCGAAGGCGGCAUCCUGGACCAACACUGACACUGAGGAGCGAAAGCCAGGGGAGCAAACGGG